GGGGGGGAGGAGGGGGGGGGAGAGGACGGGGGAGACAAAACUACUUCAAUUGCUUAACACAUUUUGAAUUGAAUCAGCAACAGCAGAUACAACAAUGAAUUAUUUGAUAUACUAAAAUCCUAACAUUAUGGUCUCAUAAGACAAUCAACAACAACAACAACAGACCAGACUAUGUGUUCCAUUCUACUCAAUUCAGCAUCGGCAACAACUGGCCACAAACUCCUGCAAAAGAAACAAAAUGAAAAUGAAAUUAAAAUUUCCAAUCAAAAUCAAAAAAGAAAAACCCUAACUAUUCCAAAUAUCCAACAACAUUGACCACUAAAACACAUAAUUCGUAGCUCAAUCGGUUACAAUUGGCCAGAAGGAAACAUAUCCAAAUCCCUAGAACCAUAAAAAAAAAGGUAAAAAUUGACAGUCGAAAAUUGAAGACAGCAGCAGAACAACACUUCCCACAGCAGAAACAGCCACCACACUAAACACUACGCUUCAUAAACGCAAACACUAAGAAAUGAAGAAGAAGAAGAACCUUGAAAUUGUAAAAC
Molecule: unclassified non-coding RNA, 542 nt
Filed under: Hevea brasiliensis (rubber tree)
Lineage: Eukaryota; Viridiplantae; Streptophyta; Magnoliopsida; Malpighiales; Euphorbiaceae
Source: RNAcentral